CAGUAGCCGCGGUAAUACGAAGGGGGCUAGCGUUGUUCGGAAUCACUGGGCGUAAAGGGUGCGUAGGCUGGUUCUUAAGUCAGGGGUGAAAUCCCGAGGCUCAACCUCGGAACUGCCUUUGAUACUUGGGAUCUUGAGUCCGGAAGAGGUGAGUGGAACUGCGAGUGUAGAGGCGAAAUUCGUAGAUAUUCGCAAGAACACCGGUGGCGAAGGCGGCUCACUGGUCCGGAACUGACGCUGAGGCACGACAGCGUGGGGAGCAAACAGGAUUAGAUACCCGCGUAGUCCCUGUCUCUUAUAA
RNAcentral lists this ribosomal RNA (301 nucleotides) under uncultured bacterium. Its description in RNAcentral is "partial 16S ribosomal RNA". It matches the Rfam family "Bacterial small subunit ribosomal RNA", at positions 509 to 809 of the family's 1533-position model. The record is from RNAcentral.